This 2847-nucleotide ribosomal RNA is filed under the name Triticum aestivum (bread wheat). Its description in RNAcentral is "partial small subunit ribosomal RNA". The record is from RNAcentral. Lineage: Eukaryota; Viridiplantae; Streptophyta; Magnoliopsida; Poales; Poaceae.
AUGCUCGAGGUUUUGGAGGUGCCGUGGACGGUGGUCGGUGGUAAGGCGGCUGGCGGGUGCCCGGGGCCGCCGCGGAGACAGGCGCUGCAAAGCAGCUUGGCGCACCCCAAGGCGGCCACGCGGUCGCCGGGGGCGGGAUGCAAGAAGUGCAAUUCCGGUGCGAGCGGCCCGCGGCGCAACGGCGCGCGGGCGCGGAGCAAGGAGGAGGCGGUGGUGCCUGCCGCGUGCACUGGCGUUGUCGCCGUCGCGCCAGCGGAGCCGCCGCCGGUGUCGAGCAAGGGGCUCGAGCUCUGCCGCCGUCCGGGGUUCGGGAAGGCGGGCACGCGCUGCGUGGUGAAGGCCAACCAUUUCCUCGCGGAGGUCGCCGACAAGGACCUCACCCAGUACGACGUCAAGAUCACGCCGGAGGUGAGGUCGCGGAGCGUGAGCCGGGCCAUCGUGGCCGAGCUGGUUCGCCUCUACCGCGCGUCCGACCUCGGCAUGCGCCUCCCGGCCUACGACGGCCGCAGCAACCUCUACACCGCCGGCCGCCUCCCCUUCGACGCCCGAGAGUUCGUCAUACGCCUCGCCGUCGACGACGACGGCGUCUCCAGCGCCACCGUCCGGGAGAAGGAGUACAAGGUGGCCAUCAAAUUCGCUGCCGGCGCCGACCUGCGCCACCUCCGGGAGUUCAUGGCGGGGCGGCAACCCGAUGAGCCGCAGGGGGGCCUACAGGUCCUCGACGUCGUGCUGCGGGAAGUCGCUAGCCAGAGGUACCUCUCCGUAAGGCGGUCGUUCUACUCGCCGGACAUUAGGACGCCGCAGAGGCUCGGCGAUGGCUUGCAGUCGUGGUUCGGCUUCUACCAGAGCAUCCGGCCGACCCAAAUGGGAUUGUCACUCAACAUCGACAUGUCGUCCACGGCAUUUGUCGAGCCGCUGCCGGUGAUCGAUUUUGCGGCGCAGAUCCUGGGGAAGGAUGUCAUGUCAAGGCCGUUGUCGGACGCGAACCGAGUCAGGAUAAAGAAAGCUCUACACGAUUUGAAGGUCGAAAUCACUCACCGGGGAAGUUUAAGACGGAAAUACCGUGUCUUCGGCUUGACAGCGCAACCAACUCAUGAGCUAAUUUUCCCAAUUGACGAUGAAGUGAAAUCGGUUGUAGAGUACUUCAAGGAAAUGUAUGGUUUCACCAUAAAGCAACCACAUCUUCCCUGCCUUCUUGUAGGAAACCAAAAGAAGCCAAAUUAUCUACCAAUGGAGGUCUGCAAGAUUGUUGAAGGUCAGAGAUACAAGAAGAGGUUGAAUGAAAAGCAGAUCACAUCAUUACUGAAAGUUACAUGCCAAAGGCCUGGAGACAAGGAAAUGGAUAUUCGACGGACCGUUCACAAAAAUGGAUAUGAUCAAGAUCCCUAUGCGAAGGAAUUUGGGAUAAACAUAAGCGACAAACUCACCUCUAUUGAAGCAAGAGUUCUGCCUGCACCCUGGCUAAAAUAUCAUGAUACCGGAAAAGAGUCAGAGUGCUUACCUCGUGUUGGCCAAUGGGACAUGAAAAACAAGAAAGUUGUCAAUGGAUGCACUGUGAAUCAUUGGGCAUCCAUUAACUUCUCAAGAAGUGUUCAAGAAAGCACUGCCAGUGGAUUUUGCCAGGAGUUAGCCCAAACGUGUAAACUUUUAGGCAUGGAGUUCAACAGCGAGCCUGCUAUACCAAUGUAUUCGGCUAGACCAGAGCAAGCAGUACAGGCGCUUAAGCAUGUGUAUAACGCUGCACUGAAAAAACCCAAGGGAAAGGAGCUUGAGCUUCUUUUGGUAAUCCUCCCUGACAACAAUGGUGCAUUGUAUGGUGACAUAAAGCGCAUUUGUGAGACCGAAUUGGGAAUAAUGUCACAGUGCUGCUUAGCAAAGCAUGUAUUUAAGAUCUGCAAACGAUACCUGGCGAAUGUCUCACUCAAAAUCAAUGUUAAGAUGGGGGGAAGAAAUACCGUACUCUUGGACGCGGUAAGUCGGAGAAUCCCAUUGGUCAGUGAUGUACCGACAAUAAUAUUUGGUGCGGAUGUAACGCAUCCUGAAACCAGAGAGGACACCAGUCCAUCAAUUGCUGCGGUUGUUGCUUCUCAAGACUGGCCAGAAGUUACAAAGUACGCUGGAUUGGUGUGCGCUCAAGCUUAUCGGCAAGAGCUCAUCCAGGAUCUCUACAAAACAUGGCAUGAUCCUCAGCGAGGCACUGUCACCGGAGGCAUGAUCAGGGAGCUUUUAAUUUCCUUCAGGAAAGCCACAGGGCAGAAACCAUUGAGAAUAAUCUUCUACAGGGACGGUGUCAGCGCAGGACAGUUCCAUCAAGUAUUACUUUACGAGUUAGAUGCCAUCCGCAAGGCUUGUGCAUCUUUAGAACCAAAUUACCAACCUCCAGUGACGUUUGUGAUAGUCCAAAAGCGUCACCAUACAAAACUAUUUGCAAACAACCACAACGAUAAAAGCAGCACCGACAAGAGCGGAAAUAUCCUGCCUGGCACCGUUGUUGAUUCAAAGAUAUGCCAUCCCACACAGUUUGAUUUCUACCUCUGCAGCCAUGCUGGAAUCCAGGGCACCAGUAAGCCAGCACAUUAUCAUGUUCUGUGGGACGAGAACAAUUUCAUGGCGGAUGAAAUGCAGACUUUGACGAACAACCUUUGCUACACGUAUGUGCGUUGCACACGAUCUGUUUCUGUCGCAGUGCCGCCUGUUUACUACGCUCAUCUAGCCGCAUUCCGGGCACGUUUCUACAUGGACCAAGAUAGCCUCUCGGUGAAGAAUGCCAACGGGAGGAAUGGAGGCGCCAUGAAGACUAUGCCGGCAGUGAAAGAGAGGGUGAAGAGGGUGAUGUUCUACUGCUGA